Molecule: ribosomal RNA, 403 nt
Filed under: bacterium
Lineage: Bacteria
Description: partial 16S ribosomal RNA
Rfam family: Bacterial small subunit ribosomal RNA
Source: RNAcentral
UGGGGAAUAUUGCACAAUGGGGGAAACCCUGAUGCAGCGACGCCGUGUGAACGAAGAAGGUAUUCGUAUCGUAAAGUUCUGUCCUAUGGGAAGAUAAUGACAGUACCAUAGAAGAAAGCUCCGGCUAAAUACGUGCCAGCAGCCGCGGUAAUACGUAUGGAGCGAGCGUUGUCCGGAAUUAUUGGGCGUAAAGGGUACGCAGGCGGUUUAAUAAGUCGAAUGUUAAAGAUCGGGGCUCAACCCCGCAAAGCAUUGGAAACUGAUAAACUUGAGUAGUGGAGAGGAAAGUGGAAUUCCUAGUGUAGUGGAGAAAUACGUAGAUAUUAGGAGGAAUACCAGUAGCGAAGGCGACUUUCUGGACACAAACUGACGCUGAGGUACGAAAGCGUGGGGAGCAAACAGG